AGUGAACGCUGGCGGUAGGCCUAACACAUGCAAGUCGAACGGCAGCACAGUAAGAGCUUGCUCUUACGGGUGGCGAGUGGCGGACGGGUGAGGAAUACAUCGGAAUCUACUUUUUCGUGGGGGAUAACGUAGGGAAACUUACGCUAAUACCGCAUACGACCUACGGGUGAAAGCAGGGGAUCUUCGGACCUUGCGCGAUUGAAUGAGCCGAUGUCGGAUUAGCUAGUUGGCGGGGUAAAGGCCCAUCAAGGCGACGAUCCGUAGCUGGUCUGAGAGGAUGAUCGGCCACACUGGAACUGAGACACGGUCCAGACUCCUACGGGAGGCAGCAGUGGGGAAUAUUGGACAAUGGGCGCAAGCCUGAUCCAGCCAUACCGCGUGGGUGAAGAAGGCCUUCGGGUUGUAAAGCCCUUUUGUUGGGAAAGAAAAGCAGCAGGUUAAUACCCCGCUGUUCUGACGGUACCCAAAGAAUAAGCACCGGCUAACUUCGUG
This 492-nucleotide ribosomal RNA is filed under the name uncultured bacterium. RNAcentral describes it as "partial 16S ribosomal RNA". It matches the Rfam family "Bacterial small subunit ribosomal RNA", at positions 29 to 507 of the family's 1533-position model. The record is from RNAcentral.